GACGAACGCUGGCGGCGUGCUUAACACAUGCAAGUCGAACGGAAAGGCCCUGCUUUUGUGGGGUGCUCGAGUGGCGAACGGGUGAGUAACACGUGAGUAACCUGCCCUUGACUUUGGGAUAACUUCAGGAAACUGGGGCUAAUACCGGAUAGGAGCUCCUGCUGCAUGGUGGGGGUUGGAAAGUUUCGGCGGUUGGGGAUGGACUCGCGGCUUAUCAGCUUGUUGGUGGGGUAGUGGCUUACCAAGGCUUUGACGGGUAGCCGGCCUGAGAGGGUGACCGGCCACAUUGGGACGGAGAUACGGCCCAGACUCCUGCGGGAGGCAGCAGUGGGGAAUAUUGCACAAUGGGCGGAAGCCUGAUGCAGCAACGCCGCUUGCGGGAUGACGGCCUUCGGGUGGUAAACCGCUUUCGCCUGUGACGAAGCGUGAGUGACGGUAAUGGGUAAAGAAGCACCGGCUAACUACGUG
Molecule: ribosomal RNA, 468 nt
Filed under: uncultured bacterium
Lineage: Bacteria
Description: partial 16S ribosomal RNA
Rfam family: Bacterial small subunit ribosomal RNA
Source: RNAcentral